GGCUAAUUCUAAUACAGAUAGAUUUAGCCAUCCUGCACCUCAUGGUGAACCCAAAUUAGACUCUAAUACAUACACUUAGAGUUUAAUUUAAAUCAAAAUUUUGACUAAUCCUAACAUAUAUAACUAGGAUUUAGUUGAUAUUUCAUCUCAUGGUGAACCCAAAUUAGACUCUAAUACAUACCCUUAGAGUUUAAUCAAAUUUUGACUAAUCCUAAUAUAUAUAAUUAGGAUUUAGUUGAUAUUUUGCCUUAUGGUGAACUCAAUGUAAAAUAUGAUUAAGCUCUAACCCAUAAGCUUAGAGCCUAAUUACACUAGACUCUAAGAUAUAAAAUUAGAGUCUAAUUCGAAAUAUUUGGGCUAAUCCUAACACAUACAUUUAGGAUGAAAGCUUAAAUCAAUUUAAUCAAAUCGAACUCUAAUGCACCUAACUAGGGUUUAAUUUGAAUCAAAUCCGAUUAAGUCCCAAUGCAUAUACAUGGAAUUUAAUCAAUCCCUCACUUUAGGGUGAACAAUAUUGUUGAGCACUGAAACAUAUAGAGCCCAAUCAAAUCAAUUUGAUCACACACUUUGAUUCAGAAUCAAGCUCAAUUAACCGUCAUAUUCAUUCAUAUACACUGGGGGUAUGCUCCUGGUUAAGCCAUGUAACUAUACAAUGGAUUAUGUUAUAAAAUCCAUCUUUUAUUCAAUUUCAGUCUAUUUCAGCAUUACAGAGGUCUCUUAAUCGAAGGUGCCCUAACACUUUGAAGGGGUAAUUAACAAUAGACGCUUGCGUUUAUUGGAAGCCAUGAAUCCACAAUACCUGAUUCCCAUACAUAAUUAAAUCUUAAUCUAAAUCAUGAAUACUACCCCACGGUGGAAAAUCAAAAUAAGAUCAACCGUGCGAGGUACG
Molecule: long non-coding RNA, 889 nt
Filed under: Ananas comosus (pineapple)
Lineage: Eukaryota; Viridiplantae; Streptophyta; Magnoliopsida; Poales; Bromeliaceae
Description: long non-coding RNA (ACOM_LNC038849)
Source: RNAcentral